GUCUCUUAGAAAUUAUUAAGAGUCAGGCCUGCCCAGUGAUUGCUUUUUAACGGCCGCGGUACCCUGACCGUGCAAAGGUAGCAUAAUCAUUUGCCUUUUAAUUGGAGGCUGGUAUGAAUGGUUUGACGAGAGUAAAGCUGUCUCACACACAUUAAAUAAAAACUAAUUUAAAGGUGCAAAAGCCUUUAUAAAACAAAAAGACGAGAAGACCCUGUUGAGCUUUAAUUUUAAUGAGCAUCCACUUUAUAUUAAUAUAACUCAUUCGCUCAAUAAAAAUUUUAAUUGGGGCGAUUAAGGAACACAAUAAAGCUUCCUGACUUUAACACUAAAUAUUUAUAAAUUAAAUCGAUCCAGCAAUGCUGAUCAACAAAACGAGUUACCACAGGGAUAACAGCAUAAUUCUUUUUCAGAGCUCAUAUCGAAAAAAGAGAUUGUGACCUCGAUGUUGGACUAGGGUAACAAGAAGGUGGAGCAGCUUUCUUGCUUGGUCUGUUCGACCAAUAAUUCCCU
This 510-nucleotide ribosomal RNA is filed under the name Theodoxus fluviatilis. Its description in RNAcentral is "partial 16S ribosomal RNA". It matches the Rfam family "Bacterial large subunit ribosomal RNA", at positions 1828 to 2597 of the family's 2925-position model. The record is from RNAcentral. Lineage: Eukaryota; Metazoa; Mollusca; Gastropoda; Cycloneritida; Neritidae.